UGAGGAAUAUUGGUCAAUGGGCGAGAGCCUGAACCAGCCAAGUAGCGUGCAGGAUGACGGCCCUAUGGGUUGUAAACUGCUUUUAUGUGGGGAUAAAGUGCGUGACGUGUCAUGCAUUGCAGGUACCACAUGAAUAAGGACCGGCUAAUUCCGUGCCAGCAGCCGCGGUAAUACGGAAGGUCCGGGCGUUAUCCGGAUUUAUUGGGUUUAAAGGGAGCGUAGGCUGUCUAUUAAGCGUGUUGUGAAAUUUACCGGCUCAACCGGUUGCUUGCCGCGCGAGCUGGUCGACUUGAGUAUGCAGGACGUAGGCGGCAUUCAUCGUGUAGCGGUGAAAUGCUUAGCUCUCAUGACGAACUCCGAUUGCGCGGGCAGCUUACUGUAGCAUAACUGACGCUGAUGCUCGAAAGUGCGGGUAUCAAACAGG
Molecule: ribosomal RNA, 424 nt
Filed under: Fusobacteriota bacterium
Lineage: Bacteria; Fusobacteriati; Fusobacteriota
Description: Fusobacteria bacterium partial 16S ribosomal RNA
Rfam family: Bacterial small subunit ribosomal RNA
Source: RNAcentral